RNAcentral lists this ribosomal RNA (460 nucleotides) under uncultured bacterium. RNAcentral's name for it is "partial 16S ribosomal RNA". It matches the Rfam family "Bacterial small subunit ribosomal RNA", at positions 338 to 795 of the family's 1533-position model. The record is from RNAcentral.
CCUACGGGAGGCAGCAGUGAGGAAUAUUGGUCAAUGGACGCAACUCUGAACCAGCCAAGUAGCGUGCAGGAUGACGGCCCUAUGGGUUGUAAACUGCUUUUAUGCGGGGAUAAAAUGAGCCACGUGUGGCUUAUUGCAGGUACCAUAUGAAUAAGGACCGGCUAAUUCCGUGCCAGCAGCCGCGGUAAUACGGAAGGUCCGGGCGUUAUCCGGAUUUAUUGGGUUUAAAGGGAGCGUAGGCGGAUUGUUAAGCGAGUUGUGAAAUUCCGCGGCUCAACCGUAGAAUUGCAGUGGCAACUGGCAGUCUUGAGUACACCAGAGGUAGGCGGAAUUCGUGGUGUAGCGGUGAAAUGCUUAGAUAUCACGAAGAACUCCGAUUGCGAAGGCAGCUUACUGUAGUGCUACUGACGCUGAGGCUCGAAGGUGCGGGUAUCAAACAGGAUUAGAUACCCGUGUAGUC